CCGCCGGUAGUGUAGUGGUUAUCGCACCAGACUGGUAUUCUGGAGGUCUUGGGUUCGGAUCCCACCCGGCGGG
This 73-nucleotide transfer RNA is filed under the name Haemaphysalis longicornis (longhorned tick). It matches the Rfam family "tRNA". From Rfam's summary of the family: Transfer RNA (tRNA) molecules are approximately 80 nucleotides in length. Their secondary structure includes four short double-helical elements and three loops (D, anti-codon, and T loops). Lineage: Eukaryota; Metazoa; Arthropoda; Arachnida; Ixodida; Ixodidae. The record is from Rfam by way of RNAcentral.